GAGGGUUUGGUGAGAGAGAGAGAGAGAGAGAGAAACACCUCCAUUGCUUUCAUAUGCUUUAGCAGGAUAAAUCAAGCAGUAAAUAUAUGCUCCUGCUUUUGAACACUAGGCUAAUUAACUUGAUCUGUGCUUCCCUCUUUCAGAUAAAGUGCAGCAGCAUAUCUGUUAUCUUGGAAUAAAAUCAGAGCUAGGUCAUCAGCUGAAUGCUUUUGAUUUGAAUUCAUGUCCAGCGUGCUAAGAAAAGAGAAUAUAUCAUCCUCAAGCGAAAGAUUGAGCCAUCGAUUGAUCCCAUUGGUCGUUCCAUGAACCUCAAGCACCUACCUCUUAUCUUUUCGAACAUUCCAUCAAUCAUGCGUGGACCAUAAACUAAGAGGGAAGGAGGGGGGCUGUGCUCUUCCAAGCCGUAGAAAACCAAAGCUUAAGAGCCACGGGGACCCAAAUGUUAUAUCCCAGGUAAGGUAAAUAGAUGAAUGCUCCAAUCAUGGGAAAAGGGCUGCGAAACACAGGGAAAUGGACUCCACCGCGGAAAGAGAGAAGGAACCCAUUGAUGUAGCUUUCACUGAGGUAGACUUGCGAGAGCAUGAUAAGGAUUCUAAGUAUUGUGGUGUAUUUUAUCGAGAUUCCUUGCGCAUUUACCUGGCCACCCGGGUCUAUUUAUUUAUUCGGGCCCUUCCUGAGCAUUUGAGUGAGAGCUAGUUUCCAUACAUGUCUAACCCCACACUAGCUCCUAGCAUAUUCCCUCUCGAACUUACCUUGUUGUAGCUGCAUCCGUAUUUUCAAAUUAAAAAUAUCAUUUUCAUGCUUUUGAUUU
Long non-coding RNA from Populus nigra (black poplar), 811 nucleotides. RefSeq lists it as uncharacterized. Lineage: Eukaryota; Viridiplantae; Streptophyta; Magnoliopsida; Malpighiales; Salicaceae. The record is from RefSeq and is a predicted model, not a curated record. The transcript has 2 exons.